UUCAUUGGGGGGUCCGUUACCCCUUGACAAGUCGAAACGGCAGCACGGGUGCUUGCACCUGGUGGCGAGUGGCGAACGGGUGAGUAAUACAUCGGCAACAUGUCCUGUAGUGGGGGAUAGCCCGGCGAAAGCCGGAUUAAUACCGCAUACGAUCUAUGGAUGAAAGCGGGGGACCUUCGGGCCUCGCGCUAUAGGGUUGGCCGAUGGCUGAUUAGCUAGUUGGUGGGGUAAAGGCCUACCAAGGCGACGAUCAGUAGCUGGUCUGAGAGGACGACCAGCCACACUGGGACUGAGACACGGCCCAGACUCCUACGGGAGGCAGCAGUGGGGAAUUUUGGACAAUGGGCGAAAGCCUGAUCCAGCAAUGCCGCGUGUGUGAAGAAGGCCUUCGGGUUGUAAAGCACUUUUGUCCGGAAAGAAAUCCUUGGCUCUAAUACAGCCGGGGGAUGACGGUACCGGAAGAAUAAGCACCGGCUAACUACGUGCCAGCAGCCGCGGUAAUACGUAGGGUGCAAGCGUUAAUCGGAAUUACUGGGCGUAAAGCGUGCGCAGGCGGUUUGCUAAGACCGAUGUGAAAUCCCCGGGCUCAACCUGGGAACUGCAUUGGUGACUGGCAGGCUAGAGUAUGGCAGAGGGGGGUAGAAUUCCACGUGUAGCAGUGAAAUGCGUAGAGAUGUGGAGGAAUUACCGAUGGCGAAGGCAGCCCCCUGGGCCAAUACUGACGCUCAUGCACGAAAGCCGUGGGGAGCAAACAGGAUUACAUACCCUGGAAGUCCCACGCCCUAAACC
This 789-nucleotide ribosomal RNA is filed under the name Burkholderia vietnamiensis. RNAcentral describes it as "bacterial SSU rRNA". It matches the Rfam family "Bacterial small subunit ribosomal RNA", at positions 29 to 808 of the family's 1533-position model. Lineage: Bacteria; Pseudomonadati; Pseudomonadota; Betaproteobacteria; Burkholderiales; Burkholderiaceae. The record is from RNAcentral.